Molecule: long non-coding RNA, 257 nt
Filed under: Dasypus novemcinctus (nine-banded armadillo)
Lineage: Eukaryota; Metazoa; Chordata; Mammalia; Cingulata; Dasypodidae
Description: lncRNA (ENSDNOG00000050858.1)
Source: RNAcentral
CUGAUCGUUAUCUUGGGAUAAACAUUCCAAAUGGAAGGAGCUUCCAUCAGCUGCCUGACGAGCAAGCUUCAGCUUCCAACCAGAUAGACAGCAGGGCAGCUCCAGCUCCAGGACACCACGUGAGAUGAGAAGUCUGGGAGGCAGCUGGGUGGGGUCCGUGAUGCAGGGUUGGGGCUGAUGCGUGUAAGAGAGUCUAAUAUCCACAAUCAGUUUAAGAGGCUCUAAGAGACCAAUAGACAUUGAGCAGAAACCACUAC